This 246-nucleotide ribosomal RNA is filed under the name uncultured bacterium. RNAcentral describes it as "partial 16S ribosomal RNA". It matches the Rfam family "Bacterial small subunit ribosomal RNA", at positions 523 to 769 of the family's 1533-position model. The record is from RNAcentral.
AUACGUAGGGUGCGAGCGUUGUCCGGAAUUACUGGGUGUAAAGGGAGCGUAGGCGGGGGUUCAAGCCCUAUGUUAAAUCCAUCGGCUCAACCGGUGGCUGCGUAGGGAACUGGAUCUCUUGAGUGAAGUAGAGGCAGGCGGAAUUCCUAGUGUAGCGGUGAAAUGCGUAGAUAUUAGGAGGAACACCAGUGGCGAAGGCGGCCUGCUGGGCUUUUACUGACGCUGAGGCUCGAAAGCGUGGGGAGC